RNAcentral lists this ribosomal RNA (989 nucleotides) under Micrococcaceae bacterium. RNAcentral describes it as "bacterial SSU rRNA". It matches the Rfam family "Bacterial small subunit ribosomal RNA", at positions 509 to 1492 of the family's 1533-position model. Lineage: Bacteria; Bacillati; Actinomycetota; Actinomycetes; Micrococcales; Micrococcaceae. The record is from RNAcentral.
CAGCAGCGCGGUAAUACGUAGGGCGCAAGCGUAUCCGGAAUUAUUGGGCGUAAAGAGCUCGUAGGCGGUUUGUCGCGUCUGCCGUGAAAGUCCGGGGCUCAACUCCGGAUCUGCGGUGGGUACGGGCAGACUAGAGUGAUGUAGGGGAGACUGGAAUUCCUGGUGUAGCGGUGAAAUGCGCAGAUAUCAGGAGGAACACCGAUGGCGAAGGCAGGUCUCUGGGCAUUAACUGACGCUGAGGAGCGAAAGCAUGGGGAGCGAACAGGAUUAGAUACCCUGGUAGUCCAUGCCGUAAACGUUGGGCACUAGGUGUGGGGGACAUUCCACGUUUUCCGCGCCGUAGCUAACGCAUUAAGUGCCCCGCCUGGGGAGUACGGCCGCAAGGCUAAAACUCAAAGGAAUUGACGGGGGCCCGCACAAGCGGCGGAGCAUGCGGAUUAAUUCGAUGCAACGCGAAGAACCUUACCAAGGCUUGACAUGAACCGGACCGCUGCAGAAAUGUGGUUUCCCCUUUGGGGCUGGUUUACAGGUGGUGCAUGGUUGUCGUCAGCUCGUGUCGUGAGAUGUUGGGUUAAGUCCCGCAACGAGCGCAACCCUCGUUCUAUGUUGCCAGCACGUGAUGGUGGGGACUCAUAGGAGACUGCCGGGGUCAACUCGGAGGAAGGUGGGGACGACGUCAAAUCAUCAUGCCCCUUAUGUCUUGGGCUUCACGCAUGCUACAAUGGCCGGUACAAAGGGUUGCGAUACUGUGAGGUGGAGCUAAUCCCAAAAAGCCGGUCUCAGUUCGGAUUGGGGUCUGCAACUCGACCCCCAUGAAGUCGGAGUCGCUAGUAAUCGCAGAUCAGCAACGCUGCGGUGAAUACGUUCCCGGGCCUUGUACACACCGCCCGUCAAGUCACGAAAGUUGGUAACACCCGAAGCCGGUGGCCUAACCCCUUGUGGGAGGGAGCUGUCGAAGGUGGGACUGGCGAUUGGGACUAAGUCGUAAC